Molecule: ribosomal RNA, 497 nt
Filed under: uncultured bacterium
Lineage: Bacteria
Description: partial 16S ribosomal RNA
Rfam family: Bacterial small subunit ribosomal RNA
Source: RNAcentral
GAUGAACGCUGGCGGCGUGCCUAAUACAUGCAAGUCGAGCGAACGGACGAGAAGCUUGCUUCUCUGAUGUUAGCGGCGGACGGGUGAGUAACACGUGGAUAACCUACCUAUAAGACUGGGGUAACUUCGGGAAACCGGAGCUAAUACCGGAUAAUAUUUUGAACCGCAUGGUUCAAAAGUAAAAGACGGUCUUGCUGUCACUUAUAGAUGGAUCCGCGCUGCAUUAGCUAGUUGGUAAGGUAACGGCUUACCAAGGCAACGAUGCAUAGCCGACCUGAGAGGGUGAUCGGCCACACUGGAACUGAGACACGGUCCAGACUCCUACGGGAGGCAGCAGUAGGGAAUCUUCCGCAAUGGGCGAAAGCCUGACGGAGCAACGCCGCGUGAGUGAUGAAGGUCUUCGGAUCGUAAAACUCUGUUAUUAGGGAAGAACAUAUGUGUAAGUAACUGUGCACAUCUUGACGGUACCUAAUCAGAAAGCCACGGCUAACUACGUG